This 1083-nucleotide ribosomal RNA is filed under the name uncultured Rhizaria. RNAcentral describes it as "bacterial SSU rRNA". It matches the Rfam family "Eukaryotic small subunit ribosomal RNA", at positions 577 to 1674 of the family's 1831-position model. The record is from RNAcentral.
CGGUAAUUCCAGCUCCAAUAGCGUAUACUAAAGUUGUUGCAGUUAAAAAGCUCGUAGUUGGAUUUCUGUGCGGGCGGGGCACUCUUCCGGUUUAACCGGGUAUGGGUCUGCAACGCUCGCACAUCCUGCCACGACCCACGCUACCAUUAACUUGGUGGCGUUUGGCGACUGGCUCGUUUACUUUGAGAAAAAUAGAGUGUUCAAAGCAGGCAUCUAGCCUUGAAUAAUGUAGCAUGGAAUAAUGAUAAAGGACUUUGGUUCUAUUUUGUUGGUGUUCGGGACUGAAGUAAUGAUUGAUAGGGACAGUUGGGGGCGUCUGUAUUCUGAAGCGAGAGGUGAAAUUCUUAGACCUUCGGAAGACAAACAGCUGCGAAAGCGUUCGCCAAGGAUGUUCCCUUUGAUCAAGAACGAAAGUUGGGGGAUCGAAGACGAUCAGAUACCGUCGUAGUCUCAACUAUAAACUAUACCAGCUAGGGAUCGGCCAACGUUGAACCAAAAGACUUGGUCGGCACCUUAUGAGAAAUCAAAGCAUCUGGGUUCCGGGGGGAGUAUGGUCGCAAGGCUGAAACUUAAAGGAAUUGACGGAAGGGCACCACCAGGCGUGGAGCCUGUGGCUUAAUUUGACUCAACACGGGGAAACUUACCAGGUCCAGACAUGAGAAGGAUUGACAGAUUGACAGCUCUUUCUUGAUUUUAUGGGUGGUGGUGCAUGGCCGUUCUUAGUUGGUGGAGUGAUUUGUCUGGUUAAUUCCGUUAACGAACGAGACCCCAGCCUGCUAAAUAGCGCGCGUGGCCUCUGGCCGCGGCGAGCUUCUUAGAGGGACUAUGGCCAGCCAUAGGCCAGGGAAGUUUGGGGCAAUAACAGGUCUGUGAUGCCCUUAGAUGUUCUGGGCCGCACACGGGCUACACUGACGCGUGCAACGAGCAUAUCAGCUGGCCCGAAAGGGUGUGGGCUAAUCUUUUGAACUCGCGUCGUGCUAGGGAUCGACUAUUGCAAUUGUUAGUCGUGCAACGAGGAAUGCCUUGUAAACGCGAGUCAUCAACUCGCAUUGAAUACGUCCCUGCCCCUUGUACACACCGCCC